GUCGCACAGGGAUCUUGUUAAAAUGUAGAUUCUGGUUCAGCAGCUCCUCCAGUGUGGGAUCUGAGAUUCUGUAUUUCUAACAAGUUCCUUGGUGAUACCAA
This is a non-coding RNA of Macaca mulatta (Rhesus monkey), 101 nucleotides long. The record is from Rfam. Lineage: Eukaryota; Metazoa; Chordata; Mammalia; Primates; Cercopithecidae.